Molecule: unclassified non-coding RNA, 333 nt
Filed under: soil metagenome
Description: partial contains 5.8S ribosomal RNA, internal transcribed spacer 2, and large subunit ribosomal RNA
Rfam family: 5.8S ribosomal RNA (bases 1-120)
Source: RNAcentral
GAUGAAGAACGCAGCGAAAUGCGAUAAGUAAUGUGAAUUGCAGAAUUCAGUGAAUCAUCGAAUCUUUGAACGCACAUUGCGCCCGCCAGUAUUCUGGCGAGCAUGCCUGUUCGAGCGUCAUUUCAACCAUCAAGCCCCAGGCUUGUGUUGGAGCCCUGCGGCUGCCGCAGCCUCCCAAAACCAGUGGCGGGCUCGCUAUCACACCGAGUGCAGUAGUUUACUCUUCGCUCAGGGCGUGUGGCGGGUGCUAGCCGUGAAACCCCCAACUUCUCAAGGUUGACCUCGGAUCAGGUAGGAAUACCCGCUGAACUUAAGCAUAUCAAUAAGCGGAGA